RNAcentral lists this ribosomal RNA (63 nucleotides) under Ctenophora environmental sample. RNAcentral's name for it is "partial Eukaryotic small subunit ribosomal RNA". It matches the Rfam family "Eukaryotic small subunit ribosomal RNA", at positions 1201 to 1263 of the family's 1831-position model. Lineage: Eukaryota; Metazoa; Ctenophora. The record is from RNAcentral.
CAACACGGGAAAACUUACCAGGUCCAGACAUAGGAAGGAUUGACAGAUUGAUAGCUCUUUCUU